UCGGUCCACUCCGCCUCUCUCUCUCUCUCUCUUCCUCCUCCGCGCGCCGCCUUACCCCUCUCCUCCUUCCUCGACGCGGCGGCUGCUCCAGAUCUUCUCUUCCCCUCGCGGCGGCGUCUCCCGUCCAAUCCAGUGAACUAUCGGCUCAGUAAAAGGGGAAAAAGGAGGGAUCUUUUCUGGACAUUUGAAGCUUACGGACGACAAGUUAACAACAACUCUGCUACCAAGCUGUUUCUACCAUCCGUGUUCGUGUAA
Molecule: long non-coding RNA, 255 nt
Filed under: Oryza sativa Indica Group (long-grained rice)
Lineage: Eukaryota; Viridiplantae; Streptophyta; Magnoliopsida; Poales; Poaceae
Also listed under: 2 other names
Description: lncRNA OsLaMu_01g0001470
Source: RNAcentral